GUCUGAACUCCCUCGAGGCAGACAGCCCUGGCCUCUGCACUUGCACACUGACUCACGCAGAGCCUGGGGCUGCCUGGGCCUGAGGGAGCUGGCAGGCAGGGGCUGUCUUUUUCCUGGAGGACUUCCUGGUGGCACAUGCUGCAGUUGGAGCCCUGAAGCACAGCGAACAGCCCCCGGCGUGUGUGGACAUGGCCCGAGGGGCCUCUCUCCAAGGGAAGUGCCCACGAUCAGGACUCAGGACGUGGGGUUCAGGAACCAGCCCAGGCUGAAUGGAGGAGAAUGGAGGCAGGAAGGCCAAGAAGUUGAAGCUGCCUUCCCAGCAACAGGCGCCGACACCUGCUUUGGGCGCGACGAGUCCAUUCUGCUCCUGUCAGAGAUAACACCUCCAGCGCUCACCGGCUGUCCAGGGAACAAGGGCUGGCACUGGCUCGAGCCAGGCAGAGAGGUGGGCACGGUGGGCCAGGGCCCAGGGGAGGGCCAGUUGGAAGUGAGAACCCCCCUUCCUGCCUUCCAUCAGGAGGCCCAGAGGGAGGGGCAUGGGGUGGGAGUGCAGCAGGCUUGGGGGACCCAAAGGGUCCCUUCCUCUCCAGAACACAAGCCACCUUGGACACAACUGGCCCCUCCCUCAUCCCCCAGUCAAACAAGGUGGCCAGAGAGGAUGUGGGGGAAGGAGGUGGAGGCCUGGGCCAACUCCCCAGACCCCCCAGCCCCUGCCUGACUCUUGGCCAUCGUCAUCUGCCCAGCCCUGGGAAGACAGGAACAUGAGCAUCUUUUGAUGGUACCAUAAGUGUCCCCUGACAGUAGCCUGAGUUUCCCAUGCUUUGAGAUGGGGUGGUGGGGAGGGACUGACCUGUCCCUGGGUCCCCACAAUCUCUGGGUCUUUGGACACAGUUGUGUGGUCAACCCACACCUCUGCAUGGCAUGGAGCUGGCUUUGGGCAAUGUCCCUACCCCUGUGGUCCAGUCUGACAGCUGGCUGGUCACAGUCACCCCUGAUCCCCCGCCUCGGAGGCUUGGGCUCCCCCAGUAAACUGGGCCACCAUCACGCAGGCUGCAGGCCACUUUGCACACUCCCGGCCUCCACCGCUGCCAGGCACCACAAACACCCACUGAGCCCAGACCCUGCC
RNAcentral lists this long non-coding RNA (1126 nucleotides) under Macaca mulatta (Rhesus monkey). Its description in RNAcentral is "lncRNA (ENSMMUG00000055386.1)". The record is from RNAcentral. Lineage: Eukaryota; Metazoa; Chordata; Mammalia; Primates; Cercopithecidae.